This 515-nucleotide ribosomal RNA is filed under the name uncultured bacterium. RNAcentral describes it as "partial 16S ribosomal RNA". It matches the Rfam family "Bacterial small subunit ribosomal RNA", at positions 28 to 523 of the family's 1533-position model. The record is from RNAcentral.
GAUGAACGCUGGCGGCGUGCCUAAUACAUGCAAGUUGAGCGAAUGGAUUAAGAGCUUGCUCUUAUGAAGUUAGCGGCGGACGGGUGAGUAACACGUGGGUAACCUGCCCAUAAGACUGGGAUAACUCCGGGAAACCGGGGCUAAUACCGGAUAACAUUUUGAACCGCAUGGUUCGAAAUUGAAAGGCGGCUUCGGCUGUCACUUAUGGAUGGACCCGCGUCGCAUUAGCUAGUUGGUGAGGUGACGGCUCACCAAGGCAACGAUGCGUAGCCGACCUGAGAGGGUGAUCGGCCACACUGGGACUGAGACACGGCCCAGACUCCUACGGGAGGCAGCAGUAGGGAAUCUUCCGCAAUGGACGAAAGUCUGACGGAGCAACGCCGCGUGAGUGAUGAAGGCUUUCGGGUCGUAAAACUCUGUUGUUAGGGAAGAACAAGUGCUAGUUGAAUAAGCUGGCACCUUGACGGUACCUAACCAGAAGGCCACGGCUAACUACGUGCCAGCCGCCGCCGUAA